RNAcentral lists this ribosomal RNA (376 nucleotides) under Candidatus Margulisiibacteriota bacterium. RNAcentral's name for it is "bacterial SSU rRNA". It matches the Rfam family "Bacterial small subunit ribosomal RNA", at positions 1 to 330 of the family's 1533-position model. The record is from RNAcentral. Lineage: Bacteria; Bacillati; Candidatus Margulisiibacteriota.
UUUUUUGAGAGUUUGAUCCUGGCUCAGGAUGAACGCUGGCGGCGUGCCUAACACAUGCAAGUCGAACGAUCCUCCGAAGCUCGCAAGAGCAAAGGAGGAGAGUGGCGAACGGGUGAGUAACACGUAAGUAACCUACCCCAAAGACCGGGAUAAUCCCGCGAAAGCGGGACUAAUACCGGAUGUGUCCUGUGAAUUUCCUAAUUUGCAGAAUAAACCACCAGCACUUUCUAACUCUAUCAAUUAGGUUUAGAAAGUGCUGGUGGCUUUGGGAUGGGCUUGCGGCCUAUCAGCUAGUUGGCGGGGUAAAGGCCCACCAAGGCAAUGACGGGUAGCUGGUCUGAGAGGACGACCAGUCACAAGGGAACUGAGACACGGU